CCGGCCGGGCCGCAGUCCGCGCAUGCGCGUCGGCGGGGCGCCCAGCGCCCCGCGGCAGGCUCCGCUCCCAGAAGCGAGCGUUGCAAACUGUUGCAUCAGACGGCAAGCAGCCGCCCGGCCGCCAGGGUUUCUAGGAAGAUAGGAAGGGUUUGAGAUCCUCUGUGGUCGAAUGGGAGCGUUGGCUGUCACUCACGGUGUUUACACGCUGGUAACACAAUCCCCUGAAACCUCAAGCUUGCGCCAGUCCGGGGAGGGCCUUAGCCACAGGUGAAAUUCUCUGAACUCCGCCGCUUCUGCCCCCACCCCACCGCCCCAGGCUGGACCAAGUGAAUUGGACUCGGUCUGCUUUAAUAAUGGCAUGGGCCCUAAAGGAAUGAGCUGGGUUUGAUUUCUCUUCCCAAGUACAAGAAUGCCCCUGAGGAAUUUCUCACUCUGUGAAAGCGCAAAACUAAUUUCCCCAGACAGGCGCUGUUGCCGGUUCCCAAAAGGGCUUGGAAAGAUCCCAGCAGGAAUGCUCAGUGGUUCCAAAUCUCUUCACCCGAGCCGCUGGAUAUGCAGACACUGACCACCAAGAACUUCUUGGUGGGUGGACACACGUCCUUCCCAGACAGGCCUUCUUUUUAGAGUAUCUCAGGCCCCCAUGUUAUGGAGAUUUUGGAAUCAGCCAGAGAAUGCACAACCACGAACUCAUACAGACACAGCACAAAUGUAACAGUUCUCUAGAUUCAAGUGGCUCUGCAACUCAGGUGAGAAAAUUGAAGCACAGAGAAGUUAAGUAACUUGUCCAAAGGCACAGAUUUGACAGGGUCCAUUGGGUGCCAAGCACGAUGACAGAAAAAGACCCCACUGAGGCAUAUCGCUGUGAAAUUUUAGAACCCUAGAGAUGAAGAAAAAAAAUCCUAAAAACUUCUCAAGACACAAGGGCCUCAAGUACAAUGCUGGAAAGAAGAAUUGAUGCAGACAUUUUUGUCUUGUUCCUGACUUUUAAAGGCCUUCUAACAUUUCACCUUGAAGAAUGAUGUUUGAAGAAUGACGUUUGCUGUAAUUAUUUGGUUAAAAAAACUCUAUCAGGUAGGAAGUUUCAUUAUGAAUUGAUGCUGAAUUUUAGCCAAUGUUUUUUUUUCUACACUUGUUUAGAUAAUAAUAAAGUUUCAUUUAUUAUCCAUUAAUGUGGUGAAUUACAUUAUAGCUUUUCCAAUGUUAAAUCACUCUUGCAUUCUUAGGAUCAACCCAGCUUGAUCAUGAUGUAUUAUAUUUUGUACACAUUGUUGAACUCAAUUUGUAGGAUUUUUGCAUCUGUGUGAAUGAAUGAAAUUGGUCUCUAAUUUUCUUGACCAGUUUAAUUUUUUUUUAUAUUCCUCCAACAGAUCUGUCACUGUAGCUAAGUAUAUCCAAAUUAGAAGGCCACCUCAUGGCUUUUCUAUCCCUAACACCAAUGCACUGAUGCCUGAGUACCAACCACAGUAAAGGCCAAACACAGGCUCUGGAGGUCAGCGGUAGGCUGGAAGAAGGCCUGGCUGGUUGUCAAUCCACAUCCCCUUUCUCCCAUCUUGAUUACCAGCCUGUGAUCUACCUUGAGGGUGCAGACCACAUCUUUUCAUCUCUCUAUCCCAAGGGUCCAGCACAAUGCCUGCAGAGUAGCUGCUCAUAAACACUUGUGAAACAGAGUUUACCCAACCCAGUAGUGAGCUCUUCUUGGUUCAUUUGACCUGAUCUUAAAAACUGUUUCUUCAUUGUGGUCUUGAGCCUUUUGGUGCACACACUGCAUGCAUAUUCUCUGUGUCCCAGGACAGACAGUGGUUGGUGUGCAGAUAAGAAUUGUGUCUACAAGGAAUUUCUUUUGACUUCCCAAUUUCAGAGCCUGCCCUACCCAGAGCCCAGAGUCCCCUGAGUCUUGUCCCAUCUGAGUGUUCAUCCACAUUCUUCCUCACACAUUGGAAACUCUAAGUAGGCCUCAUUCUUUAAAGUUUCCAGAGGCCAGUUUGGUCAGUCUGUGCUUGGUGACUGCUGGUUUGAUGAAUGAAUGCAAGCAUGCAGAGAUGGCCCCUGAGAGCCCAGGUGCAACCACUCUCCAGUCGGGCCAAUUGGUCACAUAAUCAAUGUCUGGACACGAUGUUUCAAACCAGGGUAUUCUAUUGCUUUCCUUUAGCUCAUUUAAAUUAAAACAAAACUUUUUAAAUGUUUAUU
This is a long non-coding RNA of Acinonyx jubatus (cheetah), 2187 nucleotides long. RefSeq lists it as uncharacterized. The transcript is spliced from 5 exons. The record is from RefSeq and is a predicted model, not a curated record. Lineage: Eukaryota; Metazoa; Chordata; Mammalia; Carnivora; Felidae.